GGGACGGUGGUGGAAUUGGUAGACACACCAGACUUAAAAUCUGUUGAUUGUAAAGAUCGUGCGGGUUCAAGUCCCGCUCGUCCUA
The sequence is a transfer RNA, 85 nucleotides long. It matches the Rfam family "tRNA". Rfam says of the family: Transfer RNA (tRNA) molecules are approximately 80 nucleotides in length. Their secondary structure includes four short double-helical elements and three loops (D, anti-codon, and T loops). The record is from Rfam.